This is a non-coding RNA of Podarcis lilfordi (Lilford's wall lizard), 82 nucleotides long. NCBI's taxonomy places the organism in Eukaryota, Metazoa, Chordata, Lepidosauria, Squamata, Lacertidae. The record is from the annotation of a GenBank genome assembly.
AUGGGACUCUCAAGAGUCUCCUCCAGCACCAUAAUUCAAAAGCAUCAAUUAUGGUGCUGGAGGAGACUCUUGAGAGUCCCAU